UCUACCUUAAUAUGUAUGCAUCAUCAUCUCUAAGGCAAUAUUAUAGGUUAGGAAAAAAUCUGUGUUAAAAAGAGGGCGAAGGACACGUUGCAGAAAAAUUUCUCAAAUCUUUCAAUAUGUUUGUGUGCCUGUGAAUGGUUUUUGCAUUUCCUAAUCUUAUUUGAUCUUAUCUUCAAGGGGUCACGUGUGAUCCAAGGAUCAGUUGGUGGAAAAUGGUGUUUCAAGCUGUGUUUCCAGUCUUGGGCAUUCACCUAUGAAGUGCAAGCUGUGGCAAGAAUCAACCUUCUAGAUCAAAGGGAUAUAAUGACAAAAGAAAAGGACGAAGUAUCCCCAGAGUAAGAAAUUCCAGACCAAAGUCAAGGCUGGACAGCUUCAUGGAUUAGCAUCUAUUAGAUGUUUCAUACUUGGAGCUUAUACCGUAAAGUAGCAUGGUCAACACACCAGCUCUUACACUAGCAUAAGGACUACACCUGCAUACUCUUGAUUUACUUUAAUGUUUUCUUUCCUACCCCAAGACUGGAAAAAGCACCAGUUUUGAGAUUGUGUCUGAUUUUUCAUCCCUUGUGUGUUCCUACAGCUUUUUCCUUCUAUGAGUCUUUAAUAAAAUGGCUGAACACAUUUA
This is a long non-coding RNA of Herpailurus yagouaroundi (jaguarundi), 622 nucleotides long. RefSeq lists it as uncharacterized. The record is from RefSeq and is a predicted model, not a curated record. NCBI's taxonomy places the organism in Eukaryota, Metazoa, Chordata, Mammalia, Carnivora, Felidae. The transcript is spliced from 2 exons.